Molecule: ribosomal RNA, 488 nt
Filed under: uncultured bacterium
Lineage: Bacteria
Description: partial 16S ribosomal RNA
Rfam family: Bacterial small subunit ribosomal RNA
Source: RNAcentral
AUUGAACGCUGGCGGCAUGCUUUACACAUGCAAGUCGAACGGCAGCACAGGGAGCUUGCUCCUGGGUGGCGAGUGGCGAACGGGUGAGUAAUGUAUCGGAACGUGCCUGGUAGUGGGGGAUAACUACUCGAAAGAGUGGCUAAUACCGCAUGAGAUCUUUGGAUGAAAGCGGGGGACCUUCGGGCCUCGUGCUCCUGGAGCGGCCGAUAUCAGAUUAGGUUGUUGGUGGGGUAAAGGCCUACCAAGCCUGCGAUCUGUAGCUGGUCUGAGAGGACGACCAGCCACACUGGGACUGAGACACGGCCCAGACUCCUACGGGAGGCAGCAGUGGGGAAUUUUGGACAAUGGGCGCAAGCCUGAUCCAGCAAUGCCGCGUGCAGGACGAAGGCCUUCGGGUUGUAAACUGCUUUUGUACAGAACGAAAAGUCUCUGGCUAAUAUCUAGAGAUCAUGACGGUACUGGAAGAAUAAGCACCGGCUAACUACGUG